GUAGGAGCUGGCUUGCUAGCGAUGCAGACGCUGCGGUUUGUCUGAUACACCGCGUCAAUCCAAUCGCUAGCAAGCCAGCUCCUAC
This 85-nucleotide unclassified non-coding RNA is filed under the name Pseudomonas migulae. The record is from RNAcentral. Lineage: Bacteria; Pseudomonadati; Pseudomonadota; Gammaproteobacteria; Pseudomonadales; Pseudomonadaceae.